CCUACGGGUGGCUGCAGUGGGGAAUAUUGGACAAUGGGCGCAAGCCUGAUCCAGCAAUGCCGCGUGUGUGAAGAAGGCCUGCGGGUUGUAAAGCACUUUAAGCAGGAAAGAAGUGGUGAAAGUUAAUACCUUUCAUCAUUGACGUUACCUGCAGAAUAAGCACCGGCUAACUCCGUGCCAGCAGCCGCGGUAAUACGGAGGGUGCGAGCGUUAAUCGGAGUUACUGGGCGUAUUGCGCGCGUAGGCGGGUAAGCCCUGGGCGUAACCUGGGAACUGAGGUGGAUACUGGCGGGCUAGAGUGGGGUAGAGGGGAGUGGAAUUUCCGGUGUAGCAGUGAAAGGCGUAGAGAUCGGAAGGAACACCAGUGGCGAAGGCGGCUCCCUGGACUAACACUGACGCUGAGGUGCGAAAGCGUGGGGAGCAAACAGGAUUAGAUACCCGUGUAGUC
Molecule: ribosomal RNA, 448 nt
Filed under: uncultured bacterium
Lineage: Bacteria
Description: partial 16S ribosomal RNA
Rfam family: Bacterial small subunit ribosomal RNA
Source: RNAcentral